Molecule: ribosomal RNA, 500 nt
Filed under: uncultured bacterium
Lineage: Bacteria
Description: partial 16S ribosomal RNA
Rfam family: Bacterial small subunit ribosomal RNA
Source: RNAcentral
AUUGAACGCUGGCGGAAUGCUUUACACAUGCAAGUCGAACGGCAGCACGGACUUCGGUCUGGUGGCGAGUGGCGAACGGGUGAGUAAUACAUCGGAACGUGCCCAGUCGUGGGGGAUAACGUAGCGAAAGCUACGCUAAUACCGCAUACGAUCUAAGGAUGAAGGCGGGGGAUCGCAAGACCUCGCGCGAUUGGAGCGGCCGAUGGCAGAUUAGGUAGUUGGUGGGGUAAAGGCUCACCAAGCCGACGAUCUGUAGCUGGUCUGAGAGGACGACCAGCCACACUGGGACUGAGACACGGCCCAGACUCCUACGGGAGUCAGCAGUGGGGAAUUUUGGACAAUGGGCGCAAGCCUGAUCCAGCCAUUCCGCGUGCAGGAUGAAGGCCCUCGGGUUGUAAACUGCUUUUGUACGGAACGAAAAGGCUCUGGUUAAUACCUGGGGCUCAUGACGGUACCGUAAGAAUAAGCACCGGCUAACUACGUGCCAGCCGCCGCGGUAA